AUAAGUCAUUCCCCCCCCCCCCCCCUAAUUUAUAUCGUUUAACUUGUGUGCCUGCAAACAAUUGUGAAUUUUCCUCCUUUAUAGAGAAUUAUAUAUCUGCUUGCAGGAAAAGAACGAUGUUAAGCUUGAGAAAGUUCUAAAGGAAGCAGCUAUGGAAAACAAAACAGUAAUAUUAACAACUUUGAAUGCUGCCUGGGCUUCUCCUGGUUCUAUUAUAGAUUUGUUUUUUCAAAGUUUUCGGACAGGAGAUGGAACACGCAGACUCCUGGACCAUUUGGUAAUCAUUGCCUUGGACAAGAAAGCGUACAUAAGAUGAGAAGAUUUACAUGACUGCUGGAUAUUUGUCAAUGAUGUGGAGAAGGAUAGAAUUUCUGCGUGUUAUUCUCGAAAUGGGAUACAACUUUAUUUUCUCGUUUACAAAUCUCAAGUACUCCAGAGUUGAAAUUGAUGAA
Zingiber officinale is the source of this 452-nucleotide long non-coding RNA. RefSeq lists it as uncharacterized. The transcript has 3 exons. The record is from RefSeq and is a predicted model, not a curated record. Lineage: Eukaryota; Viridiplantae; Streptophyta; Magnoliopsida; Zingiberales; Zingiberaceae.